Molecule: long non-coding RNA, 416 nt
Organism: Prionailurus viverrinus (fishing cat)
Lineage: Eukaryota; Metazoa; Chordata; Mammalia; Carnivora; Felidae
Exons: 3
Source: RefSeq, a predicted model, not a curated record
AUGGAACUCAGAAGGAGACAUCAAAUUCUAUUGUCCUAUAUUUACAACUUGUGUCAAGUCUCUCAAUCAUUGGAAUUAUUGUGCCCAUCAGCGCAUUCCCUUCUACUGAAGUGAAGAACCAAAGAACAGAGCUCUACCUAUGAAGACAGUUUGAGUUCUGCAAGAAAUGUGUGGAAGAUUUUAAUUACUAUGGAAACGCUAUUUCCCAUUGCUCACAGAGGAGCCUGAGAAGAACUUCAUCCCAGCCUCUACCUCAAUCCUAAUGGAUGUCUGCACCUGCCUCUCUGUUCCCAAAUACUUCUGAAGUCAGCUCCAAGAACAGCUCAAUAGAGUGCAACUUGCGAUUAAAAAAAAAAAAAAAGCCUCUCUUUUAGGGAUCCAGCUGGGUUAUGAUUUAAAUUUAAAGGAAUAUCAAA